Hyaena hyaena (striped hyena) is the source of this 108-nucleotide small nuclear RNA. Lineage: Eukaryota; Metazoa; Chordata; Mammalia; Carnivora; Hyaenidae. The record is from RefSeq and is a predicted model, not a curated record.
GUGCUCGAUUUGGCAGCACGUACAUGAAAACUGGAACGAUACAGAGAUGGAUUAGCAUGGCCCCUACGCAAGGAUGACAUGCAAAUUCGUGAAGGGUUCCAUAUUUUU